This 545-nucleotide ribosomal RNA is filed under the name Colletotrichum sp. Its description in RNAcentral is "eukaryotic LSU rRNA". The stretch from base 188 to 341 matches the Rfam family "5.8S ribosomal RNA". Lineage: Eukaryota; Fungi; Ascomycota; Sordariomycetes; Glomerellales; Glomerellaceae. The record is from RNAcentral.
GCGGAGGGAUCAUUACUGAGUUUACGCUCUACAACCCUUUGUGAACAUACCUAUAACUGUUGCUUCGGCGGGUAGGGUCUCCGUGACCCUCCCGGCCUCCCGCCCCCGGGCGGGUCGGCGCCCGCCGGAGGAUAACCAAACUCUGAUUUAACGACGUUUCUUCUGAGUGGUACAAGCAAAUAAUCAAAACUUUUAACAACGGAUCUCUUGGUUCUGGCAUCGAUGAAGAACGCAGCGAAAUGCGAUAAGUAAUGUGAAUUGCAGAAUUCAGUGAAUCAUCGAAUCUUUGAACGCACAUUGCGCCCGCCAGCAUUCUGGCGGGCAUGCCUGUUCGAGCGUCAUUUCAACCCUCAAGCUCUGCUUGGUGUUGGGGCCCUACAGCUGAUGUAGGCCCUCAAAGGUAGUGGCGGACCCUCCCGGAGCCUCCUUUGCGUAGUAACUUUACGUCUCGCACUGGGAUCCGGAGGGACUCUUGCCGUAAAACCCCCCAAUUUUCCAAAGGUUGACCUCGGAUCAGGUAGGAAUACCCGCUGAACUUAAGCAUA